RNAcentral lists this ribosomal RNA (374 nucleotides) under uncultured bacterium. RNAcentral's name for it is "bacterial SSU rRNA". It matches the Rfam family "Bacterial small subunit ribosomal RNA", at positions 523 to 897 of the family's 1533-position model. The record is from RNAcentral.
AUACGGAGGUGGCAAGCGUUACUCGGAAUUAUUGGGUGUAAAGGGCAAGUAGGUGGCUUGGUAAGUGAGAGGUGAAAUACUCCGGCUCAAUCGGAGAACUGCCUUUCAUACUGCCUUGCUUGAGGAUGACAGGGGGAAAGGGAAUUCCAGGUGUAAGGGUGAAAUCUGUAGAUAUCUGGAAGAACACCAGCGGCGAAGGCGCUUUCCUGGGUCACUCCUGACACUAAAUUGCGAAAGCUAGGGGAGCAAACAGAAUUAGAUACUCUGGUAGUCCUAGCCGUAAACGAUGAGCACUAGAUGUCGGGCCCGUUAGGGUUCGGUGUCGCAGCUAACGCAUUAAGUGCUCCACCUGAGGACUACGGUCGCAAGGCUAA